UGCAGAAGAGCUUGCUUUUUGUACUUUAGUGGCGGACGGGUGAGUAACGCGUGAGCAACCUGCCUGACAGAGGGGAAUAACGUCUGGAAACGGACGCUAAUACCGCAUAACGCAUAGGUUUCGCAUGGGGCCUAUGCCAAAGAUUAAUCGCUGACAGAUGGGCUCGCGUCCGAUUAGGUAGUUGGUGAGGUAACGGCUCACCAAGCCUGCGAUCGGUAGCCGGACUGAGAGGUUGAACGGCCACAUUGGAACUGAGAAACGGUCCAGACUCC
This 272-nucleotide ribosomal RNA is filed under the name uncultured Ethanoligenens sp. Its description in RNAcentral is "partial 16S ribosomal RNA". It matches the Rfam family "Bacterial small subunit ribosomal RNA", at positions 69 to 339 of the family's 1533-position model. The record is from RNAcentral. Lineage: Bacteria; Bacillati; Bacillota; Clostridia; Eubacteriales; Oscillospiraceae.